AGGAUUCGAUACAAAGCUACGAGGUGGGACUAAUAGUCAAUUUAAAGACUGCUGAUGUGGGGAAGGACUGAUGCAUCGGCGGGGGCUUUUAUGCAAAAAUGCCAAUGACGUACGACAAGAAGCAGUAACUGCUUUAUUAGUAGGUAAAGAUAAAGAUUUGUUGUACUACCAUGAUUGAACAUAAAUAGAUUGAAAGUUUUUCCAAAAAAAAA
This is a long non-coding RNA of Triticum dicoccoides, 212 nucleotides long. RefSeq lists it as uncharacterized. The record is from RefSeq and is a predicted model, not a curated record. Lineage: Eukaryota; Viridiplantae; Streptophyta; Magnoliopsida; Poales; Poaceae. The transcript has 2 exons.